UUAAUUGAAGCCAAAGGAGAGGCAACUUAAUGUUAAUAAGAGUACUGGUUAAAAUACCCAAUUAAA
RNAcentral lists this transfer RNA (66 nucleotides) under Exitianus nanus. Its description in RNAcentral is "tRNA-Asn". The record is from RNAcentral. Lineage: Eukaryota; Metazoa; Arthropoda; Insecta; Hemiptera; Cicadellidae.